Non-coding RNA from Xyrichtys novacula (pearly razorfish), 2367 nucleotides. Lineage: Eukaryota; Metazoa; Chordata; Actinopteri; Labriformes; Labridae. The record is from the annotation of a GenBank genome assembly.
UGGAGGUUGUGUUUUUGACAGAUGUGAUGUUUAGCUUUCCUAAAUUUAGCACUCAAGAAGGUGAAGGCAAUCAUCUGUUUGUGGAUGUGUACCAAAUACUCUCAAGGACUUAUGUUCCAAUCUUUCUCUAAAUAUCAGAUUGUGAAACAGACAUUUGUGUUUCUUUGUCUGCAAAGCUGAAGGAAAAGAAAUCUUCAAUUCGUGAAAAGUCCCUCUAAAUUUCACCAAAUUGACUAAACAGCUAGGCGCCAGAUGUGUUUCUACAGCAUCCUGGAAAUAUUGAAAGCUAAUUUAUAGACCAGGAUAUUUUGCAAGUGUAAAAAAUGAUCUAACAAAGACUGUUGUCAAAGGAGAUUUUGUAUAGUUGUAAAUCACUGGCCUGUAUUGUUCAACAUGUGCAAAGUAUUUACUCGAAUCUAGCGUUUGGAGUACUUUCCAAUGAGGAAAAAAGUCUGUUACAUUCAAAGUUAAACCAGUCCAAAUUAAGCAAUUGUUGUAAUUAGUAAACUUGGGGAACACAUGUUUAUUUGCUUUAAAGGAACAGGCAGAGUGGCCAAAUGUUGUGGAAAAAUGCCAAAAAGCAAAACAUUCCCACAUUAACGCUAUUAUCGAAUUCAGGUAAUAAAAGCUGUGAUUGAUGAAGAUGUUGGCAGAGCAGCGAAAAGCGUCCCUCGCCAUAUUUACAUACAGUAAAUCACUGCCUGCCGAGUGAAUGAUUUGGCAUUUGUGCCAUCCGCAAACAUUAAUAAGACAUAAAUAAAUAAAGCAAGGGAAGGUGAUUAUGAAUGUCUGCAGGGAUUUAGCAGGAUGGCUCCGACAAAAAUGGUUCCAACAUUUUGUACGAGCUCUCUCGCCAAGCCUCUAUCAGCCUCCCUAAGUCAUAUCAGAUGUUUGGGCUUUAUUGGGACUUGAAAUAGUUAUUAGCCUGAGCACCCACCCUGCUGGAUUUAUCUCCUGCUGAAUAGGGAGUCACACAAUAAUGAGCUAUGCUUAGUGUCAUAUCUGUUCCCUCUAUUCACUGCUUUUCUUCUUUAAAUCAAAACUGCCUCCUUGUGGGAUGAUGACAGACAGGUGAAAUUGGAGUUAAUAAAAGAGGUAAUAUAUCUCAUGAGGAGACUUGUACGCCCCGAAUUCGCUGGUACCAGAAAUAAAAGUUUACAAAGCCAGACUUAUUACAGCUGACCAACUAAAACGUCCUCUUCAGUAGAUUAAAGUAAACCUCCAUAAAACAAUGAACAACACAGCCACUGCAGCUCUGGAUAGAAACCUCGUUGCUGUGGAUGAUUGAGACAGUUUGCUCAGUCUGUGCUGGAAAUCUUCAGCAGGAGGGAUUAUGAGAGGAGGAGGAGCAUUUAUGCCGUCCUCUGCAUGUUUCCUAAAUUACGCUAUGCGGGUCAUUUCCAUAGGGGGGGAAAAGAAGCUUGCGGCGUAUCUAAUUCGCCUAUAAUACAAGUAAAAAGUAGAGAAUCUUCUGCCAAGUAGCAUCUCAUUUUCUGACAUCCUGUUACAGGAUUUGCAAAACUCUGCAUCUCUUGAGCACAUUUUCCAUAAAAUCAAACAUAAAAAUCAAACAAGGUUCUGCACCAAACAGGUCCUUUAAUGAGUUUCCAAUAUGCACAAAGUAUCAAACCAGUCAUGAUGGGAAAUAUCAUAUACAGUUUAUUCAACAUAAAUCUUUUAUUCUUUGUGUUGCUACUUUGAAGAUUGGGAUAAGUUAUGAAUAGAGUCUGUCAUAAAAUGUGCAGUCGUUCAAGUAUCCGUUGUGUAGGUCUGAAUGUAGGUUCAGGUAUCUGUUGUGUAGGUCUGAAUGAAAGCUAAGUGGGGGCUUGGUGAAGACAUCGUAGUGCACAGUCAUAGAUAAGUAUUGAUGCUCGACAUAUCUCUUAUUGUAUUGAACACUAUCUGAAUAAAGCGUGGAGUGCACUGAUUCUAGGUGAAAUAUAUGUAUAUUUAAAUGUAUGCACUCUAUAACAAAGGGAAUAACACAGAAAUGAUGUGAACUCAAUCUUUUUAAACAAUCUCUCUUUGUAGCAACUCUUUGCAGUGAGUAUUUGUACAACAAGGCUGCGUGUGUGAAAACGCCUUCACUCUUUUGUUAGCUAAAGUAAAGCCUCUGACGUGUACGCAUUGCUUUCAUUUUUUUCCUACUUCCUGUCAUCCUGAGGUUGGCACAGGGCCAGAGAAUCAAAUACAAGAAACCUUGGACUCCAUGGAAAUCCCAUUCAUUGGCAACAAUACUAAGAAACCUAGCAUAAAAAGAGAGUGUCUUUUCUUCUCAAGAGGGAACAUUUAGAAAAAAAAAAACACUCUUACUUCUGCAUGGUCAGAAAUAUAAAGUCAUGCUGCUUCGUUUUAACAGUGCAGCAG